UUAAUUUGAUUCUGGUUAUGAUAAUUGGUUAUUAAGAUAAUAUUUACAUGUAAAUUUUAGUGUGAUUUGUUUAAUUUAAAGGUCUAAAGGAUUAUAUAUUAAUUAAAAUUGUUUAUUCGCAGUUAUUAUUUUUAUUUAUCUAAUUAUUUAGGAUUUAUUUAUUUUAUUUAUAACUAGUUAAAAUUGUGCCAGCAACUGCGGUUACACAAUUAGUUAGAAUCAAUUUUUUUGAGUGUUAAGAUAUUAAAGAUUAAAAAUUUAUUAUUUGCAAGGUUUAAUUAUAAUUUUAGGUGAAAUUUAAUUAUAGUUGUUGAUUUGUUUAGUUAUAUUUAAUUAUAUGAUACUCUUAUUUUAAACUAGGAUUAGAUACCCUAUUAUUGGGAGUGUAAAUUUUUAUUGCUUAUAUUAUUGUUAGUUUAAGAUCUUUAAAUUAAAAGGAUUUGACGGUAAUUAUAUCAUUUCAGAGGAACCUGUCCUGUAAUUGAUAAUCCACGUUAAAUUUUACCUUAAUUAGAUUGGUUUGUAUAUCUCUGUCUAUUGAAUGUUUUAUGAGAAUUUAUUUUCGACUGUAUUUUAUUUAAUUUUAUGUCAGGUCAAGGUGCAGCUAUAUUAAGGGUAGAGAUGGGUUACAUUGAUUAUUUAAAUUAUGGAUUAAUUUAUUUUUAUAGUAUUAUGAAAUUGGAUUUGAUUGUAAUAUAUAUUAUAUUUUGUAUAUGAUAUUUGCUCUGUAUUAAGUACACAUCGCCCGUCGCUCUCAUUGCCAGUUAAAGAUGAGAUAAGUCGUAACAAAGUAGGCCUAUCGGAAGGUGGGCCUGGAAUUAUUU
Molecule: non-coding RNA, 824 nt
Filed under: Megacopta cribriella
Lineage: Eukaryota; Metazoa; Arthropoda; Insecta; Hemiptera; Plataspidae
Source: RNAcentral